RNAcentral lists this ribosomal RNA (325 nucleotides) under uncultured eukaryote. Its description in RNAcentral is "partial 18S ribosomal RNA". It matches the Rfam family "Eukaryotic small subunit ribosomal RNA", at positions 1470 to 1796 of the family's 1831-position model. The record is from RNAcentral.
CCCUUAGAUGUCCUGGGCCGCACGCGCGCUACACUGAUGCAUUCAACGAGUUUUACCUUGGCCGAGAGGCCUGGGCAAUCUUUUAAACCUGCAUCGUGAUAGGGAUAGAUUAUUGCAAUUAUUAAUCUUGAACGAGGAAUUCCUAGUAAACGCAAAUCAUCAAUUUGCAUUGAUUACGUCCCUGCCCUUUGUACACACCGCCCGUCGCACCUACCGAUUGAAUGGUCCGGUGAAGCCUCGGGAUUGUGGCCAGUUCACUUUAUUGGGAGUUGGCUGUGAGAACUUGUCUAAACCUCAUCAUUUAGAGGAAGGUGAAGUCGUAACA